GAAUUAGGGUUCUGAUCUCUUCUCUGUGCGUUAGCAAGAACAAGACCGAGCCCUAAUCGGGAUAUUGGAGAGGUGCUGUGGUGAUUUCAGCCAUCAUAGAUUUAUUGGGUUGGUUCCUCCACCGGAGUUGUGAUCAUCUCCGGCGAUUGAAGCAGUAGAGGAUCUUGAUCUAUACGAGCAGCGUGACGUGGGGUGGUUCUGUUGAUACGAGAUAUCUGGAGGCGGGUAGUAGGUAGUUGAUUGGAGUUACUGGGAGUAUGCUGCCAGCCGGUCCCACUUCCCGCGUUACAUCCGAGGA
Molecule: long non-coding RNA, 298 nt
Organism: Zingiber officinale
Lineage: Eukaryota; Viridiplantae; Streptophyta; Magnoliopsida; Zingiberales; Zingiberaceae
Exons: 4
Source: RefSeq, a predicted model, not a curated record